GAUCAUGGCUCAGGAUGAACGCUAGCUACAGGCUUAACACAUGCAAGUCGAGGGGCAGCGGGAAGUCAGCUUGCUGACUUUGCCGGCGACCGGCGCACGGGUGAGUAACACGUAUCCAACCUUCCCGUUACUCUGGAAUAGCCUUUCGAAAGAAAGAUUAAUACCGGAUAGUAUCGAGAGAUUGCAUGAUAACCCGAUUAAAGAUUCAUCGGUAACGGAUGGGGAUGCGUUCCAUUAGGCUAGG
RNAcentral lists this ribosomal RNA (244 nucleotides) under uncultured bacterium. RNAcentral describes it as "partial 16S ribosomal RNA". It matches the Rfam family "Bacterial small subunit ribosomal RNA", at positions 15 to 250 of the family's 1533-position model. The record is from RNAcentral.